AGCAGUAGCCGCGGUAAUGCGUAGGUGGCAAGCGUUGUCCGGAAUUAUUGGGCGUAAAGGGCUCGCAGGCGGUUUCUUAAGUCUGAUGUGAAAGCCCCCGGCUCAACCGGGGAGGGUCAUUGGAAACUGGGAAACUUGAGUGCAGAAGAGGAGAGUGGAAUUCCACGUGUAGCGGUGAAAUGCGUAGAGAUGUGGAGGAACACCAGUGGCGAAGGCGACUCUCUGGUCUGUAACUGACGCUGAGGAGCGAAAGCGUGGGGAGCGAACAGGAUUAGAUACCCGCGUAGUCCCUGUCUCUUAUAC
This 303-nucleotide ribosomal RNA is filed under the name uncultured bacterium. RNAcentral describes it as "partial 16S ribosomal RNA". It matches the Rfam family "Bacterial small subunit ribosomal RNA", at positions 507 to 807 of the family's 1533-position model. The record is from RNAcentral.